This 88-nucleotide transfer RNA is filed under the name Ignavibacteriales bacterium. Its description in RNAcentral is "tRNA-Ser". It matches the Rfam family "tRNA". From Rfam's summary of the family: Transfer RNA (tRNA) molecules are approximately 80 nucleotides in length. Their secondary structure includes four short double-helical elements and three loops (D, anti-codon, and T loops). Further hydrogen bonds mediate the characteristic L-shaped molecular structure. tRNAs have two regions of fundamental functional importance: the anti-codon, which is responsible for specific mRNA codon recognition, and the 3' end, to which the tRNAs corresponding amino acid is attached (by aminoacyl-tRNA synthetases). tRNAs cope with the degeneracy of the genetic code in two manners: having more than one tRNA (with a specific anti-codon) for a particular amino acid; and 'wobble' base-pairing, i.e. permitting non-standard base-pairing at the 3rd anti-codon position. Lineage: Bacteria; Pseudomonadati; Ignavibacteriota; Ignavibacteria; Ignavibacteriales. The record is from RNAcentral.
GGAGAGGUGGGAGAGUGGCUGAAUCCAACGGUUUGCUAAACCGUCGUACCUUUAACGGGUACCGCGAGUUCGAAUCUCGCCCUCUCCG